This 253-nucleotide ribosomal RNA is filed under the name uncultured bacterium. Its description in RNAcentral is "partial 16S ribosomal RNA". It matches the Rfam family "Bacterial small subunit ribosomal RNA", at positions 524 to 776 of the family's 1533-position model. The record is from RNAcentral.
UACGGGGGGAGCAAGCGUUGUUCGGAUUUACUGGGCGUAAAGGGCGCGUAGGCGGCGUGACAAGUCACUUGUGAAAUCUCCGGGCUUAACUCGGAACGGUCAAGUGAUACUGUCGUGCUAGAGUACAGAAGGGGCAACUGGAAUUCCCGGUGUAGCGGUGAAAUGCGUAGAUAUCGAGAGGAACACCUGCGGCGAAGGCGGGUUGCUGGGCUGAUACUGACGCUGAGGCGCGAAAGCUAGGGGAGCGAACGGG